RNAcentral lists this ribosomal RNA (201 nucleotides) under Serratia ureilytica. Its description in RNAcentral is "partial 16S ribosomal RNA". It matches the Rfam family "Bacterial small subunit ribosomal RNA", at positions 363 to 556 of the family's 1533-position model. The record is from RNAcentral. Lineage: Bacteria; Pseudomonadati; Pseudomonadota; Gammaproteobacteria; Enterobacterales; Yersiniaceae.
AUUGCACAAUGGGCGCAAGCCUGAUGCAGCCAUGCCGCGUGUGUGAAGAAGGCCUUCGGGUUGUAAAGCACUUUCAGCGAGGAGGAAGGUGGUGAGCUUAAUACGCUCAUCAAUUGACGUUACUCGCAGAAGAAGCACCGGCUAACUCCGUGCCAGCAGCCGCGGUAAUACGGAGGGUGCAAGCGUUAAUCGGAAUUACUG